UUAUCGGAGAGUUUGAUCCUGGCUCAGGACGAACGCUGGCGGCGUGCCUAAUACAUGCAAGUCGAGCGGACAGAUGGGAGCUUGCUCCCUGAUGUUAGCGGCGGACGGGUGAGUAACACGUGGGUAACCUGCCUGUAAGACUGGGAUAACUCCGGGAAACCGGGGCUAAUACCGGGUGCUUGUUUGAACCGCAGGGUGCAACCAAA
Molecule: ribosomal RNA, 206 nt
Filed under: Bacillus spizizenii
Lineage: Bacteria; Bacillati; Bacillota; Bacilli; Caryophanales; Bacillaceae
Description: partial 16S ribosomal RNA
Rfam family: Bacterial small subunit ribosomal RNA
Source: RNAcentral